This 30-nucleotide non-coding RNA is filed under the name Mus musculus (house mouse). Lineage: Eukaryota; Metazoa; Chordata; Mammalia; Rodentia; Muridae. The record is from RNAcentral.
UGCUAGUGUUGCCUCUGAAUACAUUCUCCA